Molecule: ribosomal RNA, 242 nt
Filed under: uncultured Desulfobacterium sp.
Lineage: Bacteria; Pseudomonadati; Thermodesulfobacteriota; Desulfobacteria; Desulfobacterales; Desulfobacteriaceae
Description: partial 16S ribosomal RNA
Rfam family: Bacterial small subunit ribosomal RNA
Source: RNAcentral
AGAGAUACUAGCCCCGGUUAACGGGGAGGAAGGUGGGGAUGACGUCAAGUCCUCAUGGCCCUUAUGCCCAGGGCUACACACGUGCUACAAUGGGCGGUACAAAGGGUAGCGAUGCCGCGAGGUGAAGCCAAUCCCAAAAAGCCGUCCACAGUUCGGAUUGGAGUCUGCAACUCGACUCCAUGAAGCCGGAAUCGCUAGUAAUCGUGGAUCAGCAUGCCACGGUGAAUACGUUCCCGGGCCUU